GAUGAACGCUGGCGGCGUGCUUAACACAUGCAAGUCGAACGGAAAGGCUCCUGCUUGCAGGGGUACUCGAGUGGCGAACGGGUGAGUAACACGUGGGUGAUCUGCCCUGCACUUCGGGAUAAGCCUGGGAAACUGGGUCUAAUACCGGAUAGGACGAUGGUUUGGAUGCCAUUGUGGAAAGUUUUUUCGGUGUGGGAUGAGCUCGCGGCCUAUCAGCUUGUUGGUGGGGUAAUGGCCUACCAAGGCGUCGACGGGUAGCCGGCCUGAGAGGGUGUACGGCCACAUUGGGACUGAGCUACGGCCCAGACUCCUACGGGAGGCAGCAGUGGGGAAUAUUGCACAAUGGGCGCAAGCCUGAUGCAGCGACGCCGCGUGGGGGAUGACGGCCUUCGGGUUGUAAACUCCUUUCGCUAGGGACGAAGCGCAAGUGACGGUACCUGGAGAAGAAGCCCCGGCUAACUACGUG
This 466-nucleotide ribosomal RNA is filed under the name uncultured bacterium. RNAcentral describes it as "partial 16S ribosomal RNA". It matches the Rfam family "Bacterial small subunit ribosomal RNA", at positions 28 to 507 of the family's 1533-position model. The record is from RNAcentral.